AUGUGGCAAGCCAUCAGAGGCAAAAUCCCGGUGGCCGACCAAAUCCGGAAACGUAAUGGCCCCGACUUGGACCAUUGCACUCCCUGCUUGGCUCUUGAGGACUCGAAUCACAUCUUUUUCGGGUGUGUCUUAGCAAGGUUGGCCUACUGUUGUAUUAGAUCUUGGAUGGGGGUCUCAUGGGCCCCUACCUCCUUUGCUAAGCUGGGGCCGCUGGCUGUGGGCCUUCUGUGGAAAUCAUUGACUAAGGAUGCUGAUCGGGACGCACUGGAGGAGUUGAUAUCUAGGGUGCGAUCUUCUGCUUCUUCUCCGGUCCAGCCUCAUGGCAUCAACUGA
RNAcentral lists this ribosomal RNA (333 nucleotides) under Triticum aestivum (bread wheat). RNAcentral describes it as "partial small subunit ribosomal RNA". Lineage: Eukaryota; Viridiplantae; Streptophyta; Magnoliopsida; Poales; Poaceae. The record is from RNAcentral.